Molecule: ribosomal RNA, 537 nt
Filed under: uncultured bacterium
Lineage: Bacteria
Description: bacterial SSU rRNA
Rfam family: Bacterial small subunit ribosomal RNA
Source: RNAcentral
ACGGGUGAGUAACGCGUGGGAACGUGCCUUUCGGUUCGGAAUAACUCAGGGAAACUUGAGCUAAUACCGGAUACGCCCUUCGGGGGAAAGAUUUAUUGCCGAAAGAUCGGCCCGCGUCCGAUUAGUUAGUUGGUGAGGUAAUGGCUCACCAAGGCGACGAUCGGUAGCUGGUCUGAGAGGAUGAUCAGCCACACUGGGACUGAGACACGGCCCAGACUCCUACGGGAGGCAGCAGUGGGGAAUAUUGGACAAUGGGCGCAAGCCUGAUCCAGCCAUGCCGCGUGAGUGAUGAAGGCCCUAGGGUUGUAAAGCUCUUUCGCCAGGGACGAUAAUGACGGUACCUGGAUAAGAAGCCCCGGCUAACUUCGUGCCAGCAGCCGCGGUAAUACGAAGGGGGCUAGCGUUGUUCGGAAUCACUGGGCGUAAAGCGCACGUAGGCGGAUCUUUAAGUCAGGGGUGAAAUCCCGAGGCUCAACCUCGGAACUGCCUUUGAUACUGGAGGUCUAGAGUCCGGGAGAGGUGAGUGGAACUGCGAGU